AAAACUGAGGUGGGUGUAAGAUGGACCCGCGUCUGAUUAGGUAGUUGGUGGGGUAACGGCCCACCAAGCCGACGAUCAGUAGCCGGCCUGAGAGGGUGGACGGCCACAUUGGGACUGAGACACGGCCCAGACUCCUACGGGAGGCAGCAGUGGGGAAUAUUGCACAAUGGGGGAAACCCUGAUGCAGCGACGCCGCGUGAGCGAUGAAGUAUUUCGGUAUGUAAAGCUCUAUCAGCAGGGAAGAAAAUGACAGUACCUGACUAAGAAGCCCCGGCUAACUACGUGCCAGCAGCCGCGGUAAUACGUAGGGGGCAAGCGUUAUCCGGAUUUACUGGGUGUAAAGGGAGCGUAGACGGCAUGGCAAGCCAGAUGUGAAAUACCGGGGCUCAACCCCGGGACUGCAUUUGGAACUGUUAAGCUGGAGUGUCGGAGAGGCAGGCGGAAUUCCUAGUGUAGCGGUGAAAUGCGUAGAUAUUAGAAGGAACACCAGUGGCGAAGGCGGCCUGCUGGACGAUGACUGACGUUGAGGCUCGAAAGCGUGGGGAGCUUUAAAGGUUAGAUACCCUGGUAGUCCACGCCGUA
This 582-nucleotide ribosomal RNA is filed under the name uncultured bacterium. RNAcentral describes it as "bacterial SSU rRNA". It matches the Rfam family "Bacterial small subunit ribosomal RNA", at positions 202 to 804 of the family's 1533-position model. The record is from RNAcentral.